This 474-nucleotide ribosomal RNA is filed under the name Streptococcus parasanguinis. RNAcentral's name for it is "bacterial SSU rRNA". It matches the Rfam family "Bacterial small subunit ribosomal RNA", at positions 28 to 485 of the family's 1533-position model. The record is from RNAcentral. Lineage: Bacteria; Bacillati; Bacillota; Bacilli; Lactobacillales; Streptococcaceae.
GAUGAACGCUGGCGGCGUGCCUAAUACAUGCAAGUAGAACGCUGAAGCUUGGUGCUUGCACCGAGCGGAUGAGUUGCGAACGGGUGAGUAACGCGUAGGUAACCUGCCUCUUAGCGGGGGAUAACUAUUGGAAACGAUAGCUAAUACCGCAUAAAAGUCGACAUCGCAUGAUGUUGACUUGAAAGGUGCAAUUGCAUCACUAAGAGAUGGACCUGCGUUGUAUUAGCUAGUUGGUGAGGUAACGGCUCACCAAGGCGACGAUACAUAGCCGACCUGAGAGGGUGAUCGGCCACACUGGGACUGAGACACGGCCCAGACUCCUACGGGAGGCAGCAGUAGGGAAUCUUCGGCAAUGGGGGCAACCCUGACCGAGCAACGCCGCGUGAGUGAAGAAGGUUUUCGGAUCGUAAAGCUCUGUUGUAAGAGAAGAACGAGUGUGAGAGUGGAAAGUUCACACUGUGACGGUAACUACCA